RNAcentral lists this ribosomal RNA (504 nucleotides) under uncultured Archaeosporaceae. RNAcentral's name for it is "SSU rRNA". It matches the Rfam family "Eukaryotic small subunit ribosomal RNA", at positions 569 to 1078 of the family's 1831-position model. Lineage: Eukaryota; Fungi; Glomeromycota; Glomeromycetes; Archaeosporales; Archaeosporaceae. The record is from RNAcentral.
AGCAGCCGCGGUAAUUCCAGCUCCAAUAGCGUAUAUUAAAGUUGUUGCAGUUAAAAGCUCGUAGUUGAAUUUUGGAUUCUUCCAAUUGGUCCAUCUUUUAGAUGAGUACUGGUUGUGUGGGGUCUAUCCGCCUGGUGAUACGUAAUGUCCUUUAUUGGAUGUUGCGGGUAGUCAGGACCUUUACCUUGAAAAAUUAGAGUGUUUAAAGCAGGCUUAUGCCGGAAUACAUUAGCAUGGAAUAAUAGAAUAGGACGAAGUUGUUUUAUUUGUUGGUUUCUAGGACAACCGUAAUGAUUAAUAGGGAUAGUUGGGGGCAUUAGUAUUCAAUUGUCAGAGGUGAAAUUCUUGGAUUUAUUGAAGACUAACUACUGCGAAAGCAUUUGCCAAGGAUGUUUUCAUUAAUCAAGAACGAAAGUUAGGGGAUCGAAGACGAUCAGAUACCGUCGUAGUCUUAACCAUAAACUAUGCCGACUAGGGAUCGGGCGAUGUUGUUUCCAUGACUCG